UGGACCUCUUUCUCUGCCUGUAGUGAU
Molecule: non-coding RNA, 27 nt
Filed under: Rattus norvegicus (Norway rat)
Lineage: Eukaryota; Metazoa; Chordata; Mammalia; Rodentia; Muridae
Source: RNAcentral